ACCCCUGGCAGAAUUGUAGCCAAUGAGUUUUAUCCAAAGCACAAGUAUUACUAAUUGAAAACUUCUCCCAAUACCUCACCAUGAUUACUUGAAAUAUAGUAGGCAUUGGAAAUCUUUGGCAGUCUCUAUGGAGA
This 134-nucleotide small nuclear RNA is filed under the name Dasypus novemcinctus (nine-banded armadillo). RNAcentral's name for it is "U4 spliceosomal RNA (ENSDNOG00000042486.1)". It matches the Rfam family "U4 spliceosomal RNA". Rfam says of the family: U4 small nuclear RNA (U4 snRNA) is a component of the major U2-dependent spliceosome. The structure of U4 snRNA from yeast and human has been reported. The record is from RNAcentral. Lineage: Eukaryota; Metazoa; Chordata; Mammalia; Cingulata; Dasypodidae.